CUACGGUGCCUGCCUGGUUCUAGAGACUGGUCCACCUCUGUUUUGAGAUUUUGUAGACCCAUGAAACAUUUCAACUGCCUAAUACUUCUGAUUUCACCUACAACAUGAGAAUGAUCCUGAUGGUCGUGAAUAUAUCAUUAUAGGAAGAAUUAAGAUAAUCCUUAAAUUUUCUCCCCUCCCGUGAAAAUACAAUCUAUAGAAUAUAACUUAGAAAUAAAUUAAUGGGAUGGACUCAGACUCAGCAUGUCUUGACAUUUUUGAAUUUUUUUUUACCUUGGCCUGGCAGGUCAACUGACCACAGCAGUUUAUUCUAUAGCAAUAUGGAUUUUGCCAACAUAAUAAAAUUCAUGCAGUGUUUGAAUGUUAUAAACAUGACUUAUUUAGCUCUUUUUAGAUUAAAAAAAAAAAGGGAGCUUACUUUGCCAGAGUGGUGAGAAGUUAAUUUACAUAUGGGAAAACAAAUCUGGAAUUUGGCUCUGACCAAUAGAGGUCUUCUCUAUAUUAUUAUCCCAUUUCCAAAAGGAAUUUGAGGUGAUUUACAAAGAUGUAGGGAAACAAAAUCUAAUAAAAUCUGGAGGAAGGGAAAAUAAACAUUGAAAACAAAGGCAGGGUCUUAACAUAUCCACAUCGUAGUAAAAUAAAAGCCAUGGUCCCACCUGUCACUGCAGAUCCCCUACCAGGUCGGGCCUGAUGAGGAUACUCAACAGCACACAAAUGAUGAUACUGUGUAUCUGGCUG
Callorhinus ursinus (northern fur seal) is the source of this 738-nucleotide non-coding RNA. The record is from RefSeq and is a predicted model, not a curated record. NCBI's taxonomy places the organism in Eukaryota, Metazoa, Chordata, Mammalia, Carnivora, Otariidae.